RNAcentral lists this ribosomal RNA (305 nucleotides) under uncultured bacterium. RNAcentral describes it as "bacterial SSU rRNA". It matches the Rfam family "Bacterial small subunit ribosomal RNA", at positions 333 to 631 of the family's 1533-position model. The record is from RNAcentral.
CUGGUCCUACGGGACGCAGCAGUAGGGAAUCUUCCACAAUGGACGAAAGUCUGAUGGAGCAACGCCGCGUGAUCGAAUGAAGGCCUUCGGGUUGUAAAGAUCUGUUGACAGGGACGAAUAAGCAAUGCGAAUAGUUUUGUGUAUGACGGUACCUGUUUAGAAAGCUCCGGCUAACUACGUGCCAGCAGCCGCGGUAAUACGUAGGGAGCAAGCGUUGUCCGGAAUUACUGGGCGUAAAGGGCGCGUAGGUGGGCGCUUAAGUCAGGUGUGAAAACUCCGGGCUCAACCUGGAGACUGCACUUGAA